RNAcentral lists this long non-coding RNA (4713 nucleotides) under Prunus dulcis (almond). Its description in RNAcentral is "sRNA ncRNA". The record is from RNAcentral. Lineage: Eukaryota; Viridiplantae; Streptophyta; Magnoliopsida; Rosales; Rosaceae.
AUUUUCUCCCUUCUCUCCCCAGUUUUCACACUCUCAGUUUCUCUGCUUUCUCUCUCUUUUUUCUGUGUGCCUCUGGCCAAGCUCUCUCUCUCUCUCUCUCUCUCUCUCGCUCCCUCCCAACCUUUUCAGCUUCUGUUACUUGGUCAGAGUAAUUGAUCUCUUUCGGUCCUCAAUUUCAGUAAUUUCACUGAAAUCCCAUGUUGGUGGAUUGAAGUUAUUCACUGAUUCUUUUGACUUCUGGAAAAAUUUAUGGUGAAUUCCAGUGCUAAUAGUUUGAUUAUUGUGUAAAGUUUCAUACUUUACGAAGUAAAAUCCAAAAAGGUUAGAUUUAGAGAAAGGCAACUGACAGAGAGGCUCUUUUUGAGUAACUGGGUCACUUUUCUCUAUCGCUUUAAACGCGGGUUUGGUGGUUUUUGUGAUUUUGGAGGUGGGUUUUCAAGACUUUGGCUUAAGCUUUAAAAUAUGAUUGUUAGCUCUCUCUGCAAUGCAGGCGCUAGGUUCUCGGUGAGUUCAUAAAAACUUCAUAUAAUUUUCUUUUCAACUUUUGCUCAUAUUCUUCCACAUAUACCGUUGAUCAUAGCAAUUUUUGGUGAACAUAUAUAUGUUACAAAUUGUGUUCUCUACUCAUAAAAUUAUGAACAUCUUGUGAGUUUUUGGAGUGUCAAUACGUAUUAUGUAAAUGUGUAUUUAGUAUUGAUAAUUAUGAGAUACUCUGUGAUAUUAUUAAAUGAGGUGGGAAGAUUGUGUACGCCAAUUAGAUAUGCUUAUGUUUCAAUUCAUGCAUAGUAUAUGAAUUUGUUGUCUGGGCCCACCAAAAGUCAUUCAAUAAUUUCAGCUUGUUCCGAUUACACUCGUAGAAGCUAAUCUAUGAUUCUGAUCUUGUGCUUUAUUGUUAUUAUUAUUAUUAUUUUAUUUUAUUUUUAUCAUUUACUAACACGCCAUUCAAAUUUAAGCGUGGUUGAUUUAUGCUUUUGGAUUAAUGAAAUCACGGACCUUUGGUCCAUUCUAAAGGACUUUGAGUUUUGAUUUGUAUAAUAUGAUGCAUUAUUUGCUUGUAUUAUAUAUUUAUUAGUUUAAUAUGAGUAGGUGAUUGUGUUUUUCAUUGUACGAUGGAGCUGUUGUCUCUUUGUGAGUUUACAAGUUUUAAUAAUUGGUUAUAUACGCUAGCACCAAUGGACUGUAUUAUUAUAUUUUGUUUUGUGUAUCGAACUGGGGGUAAACCACUGACCGAAACAGUGCAUGUUUUGUUUAUAAUAUAAACAUUAAUAAUGCAGUGAUAUAUUUGCAUGCUGUCGUGUAUUGCUUAUAUAAAACUUGAUUAUUUUAAGGUAUACAUUGAAUGGCAUUAAGCUUGUUCAUGGAAAAAAUUCGCCAUGUUCCUAGAUGUUUCGGUUAUCAAAAUCACACUUGUCGGACGGUCAACUGUAAUCUUCUAUUUUUGGCUUUUCUAACAUUACCGCACGGGUGCCUUCCUGCAGCUUCUACCCAUGUGCAUGAUUUCCUGUGUUCUGUAAGACUUGUGUGAAACCUUGUGCAUUCAUGUGCUUCGUAGGAGGUACAGGAUAAACCAGCAUCCAAGAAAGCUUCACGCAUAUUGCUUUGAGACAAAAAGAAAUAGGAGUUUUUCUGUAGUUAGAAUGUCACUAAGUUUAGCUCAUUUUGCAUAUAGUAUAUUCGUUUUGUUUCCUAGUGUCGUGGGAAUAGUAGAGCAUCUGUGUUCAUAAAUCCUGUCACAAGAGGCCUACUGUUUGGGGAAUAUGUUUUGUCUGGAAUAGAUCUGUAGUGAGUAUUAAAAAACUGACACAUAAGUUCCUGUUCCUGUUAGGUAAUUUAUUUAAUGUGUUAGCAACUUAACAUCAAUUGUUUUUUUGUUACCCUCCUUUUUAGUUAAGAUUCCUUCAAGAGUAGAACAUUAUGACGAACAUGUACAAUGAUUAUAACCAAACAAGAAGGAUGAUUCACUUUUCUGGACUGCUUGCUACGCAUUGUACCAUCAAGGGAAAUACUUGAAGUUCUGGAUGCGUUCAUCUUAUAUUGGGACUUGUGAAAGUGUUAGGUUAACAUUGAUUAUUGGGUGUGUGUUUCUGCUAAUGCUUGUCUAAUCUUACAAAUAGUGAUUCUUCUUUCUUUGUUAACCUAGGGGGAAGAAGGGAUUGAUGUAAGAAACAUGACAGAACACAAAAGAAGCCCCUGCUCUGUUGAUCAAAGCAAUUUUACUUCUCUUGCAUCCAAACGACAUAAGACUGAUUUGUCCAUCUCCACAAAGGUUUCUUUUCCUGCUUCUCAAAUUUUUUGUUAUUAGGGUGGGUAUGGACCUUAAUUGUAUCUUAGAUUCAAUGGGGGCUCUAGGAUGUUUCUUCUAAACAUUGACAAGAGCUGUCUUUUGAUAUCUGUCUCUCAAGAAAUUUAUGAUUUGUAGAAUAAGGUUUGCACUGGUGUGACUCGAUCUUGUUCCUCUUUGUAUGUGCGUGUGUUAAUUGGUAUUUUGGGGGCAAUCUGGCUUCAAUCAAACACUUUUUUAAAUUUUGGAACUUGAAGCUCUUACCUUAGAGGUAUUAGAAUUGUUUUCUGAUCUCUAUAAAAUAUGCUUUCAAGUGCUCCAUUACCUUUAUUAAUAUCCAUGGAAAAGAAAAAUGCAACUAUCUCAUAACAAUAGUUUAUUUAUUCAAAGCUGAUAUAGUUAGAAAUUGCUUGACUUUUUUUUUCUAUUUUAAAAAAAAAUAAAAAAAAUAAAAAUAUAUAAUCAUAAGAUGCUUGAAAAUGGCAUGUUCUGUAUGUUUCAGUAGCCGCUUUAAAAUUCACACUCGUGUAGUUCCUAUUGUCUGGUAGCAAUUCAAUUCCUAAAGAAACUAGGGUUUUUACCUCGAGGGCGUAGUUUGCUGGGGAUAUCUAUUGUGAGCUACUUAUGUUUUAAAUUCUUUUGUUCUGCUUGUAGGAGAGGAAAGAGAAGCUUGGUGAACGGAUUGUAGCUUUGCAACAGCUUGUUUCGCCAUAUGGAAAGGUACACAGAACAAAUUAAUCCUUUUCCUUAGAUGAGAAACUGUUGAACCAUGAUUUAUAAUGGUGGCAUUACGACAUUAAUGGUUUCCUAUUAACUCAUCUCAUGGAAUUUGUGGUGUUUAUAAUUCUUGGGUCCAUCCAUCAUGCACUUCAGGCAUCACCACAAAGUGAAUAUCAUCUGAUAGAGAGUGCUUAUGCUAUAUUUACUGUAGAUAGGUUUCCAAUGCCAACAGUUUAUUCCUAGAAAAAAAAUAAGUUGUUUAUAUAUUCUGUGUGUGUCUAAAGUCCUAUUAUUGUACUGCAGACAGACACAGCUUCAGUCCUGCUGGAGGCAAUGGAUUACAUACGCUUCCUUCAUGAACAAGUUAAGGUUAGCCUUUUCAUUCUUCUUAUAAGCGAACACCUUCCCUAGUACCCAACUUCAUAACUGGUAUUACAUAGACUGGAUUUUGUUAUAUGGUAUUGCCAACUUCAGAUGUAAUCUGCUAUAAGACAUAAUUCCGUAUGGUUGAUAUUGUGAUAUGAAUGAGACACUUCCUUUUUAAAGAUUGCCUCAAAGUGAAAAUAAGAACAGUUAAGAUACGGUUGUUUUUUUGUUUUUUGUUUUUUGUGUGUGUUUCUUUGGCCUGUAAGAUACUGUUUCUUUUUGUUCUGCAAAAACAAACAAGAUGAGUAACUUCAAUCUUGCCUUGUUUGUGUUAUUUGAGUAAUGUGAAGUGAUAGGGCUUCUUGUUCAAAACUAAUGAUGCAAAUAUUUGAAAUGUUUUACUUUUGAGAGAUGCGUCUUCCGUAUAAACUGCUUGAUAAGGUAACAGAUUUGACUUUCUUGUUGGUGGAUUUAGGUGUUGAGCGCUCCAUACCUUGAAAGCACACCAACAGCUAAGAUGCAGGUGAGCUUGAGCUGGAUGUAGACAUAAGCAAGAGCAAAAUGUCAAUGAUAUUUCAAAGCUUGUUUGGAGAACUGAUGAAUUACAUUAAUUGAAUGUAACCAUAUGUCAUAAUGAAGACAUCACUAAGCUGCCAUGUCCUACGUGUGUUGUUGGAUAAAAAGCAAAGUGAUGUGACCUAGUGUGCAUGGGUCAAAGAUGCCUCUCUUUUCACACAUUAGUACCAUUUAAUUUGGCAUAAUUGGUUUAAAUUUAUGGUGAAAAUGUAAUGUGGUUGUUCAUUAAUUUUCUUUCAUCAGGAAUUAGAGCCAUACAGCUUGAGAAGCAGAGGUCUGUGCCUUGUUCCUGUCUCUUGUACUGCCGGAGUUGCUCAAAGUAAUGGUGCAGAUAUCUGGGCCCCCAUUAAGAAUACUUCCCCCAAGUUUGAGAACGCUAUCUCACAAUUCCAUUGAUACAGAUCAAUGCUCAGCAACCAAAAUGGUCUUGAAGAUGGAUGCCAGAUUGAGGCUGUGUAAAGGGUAACCAAUUUCGUUUCUAAAGCACAACCCAUUUUUUGUGAGGCAGAUUCGGAUUCAGUAACUGAAAUUUUUAGCAUGACGCCCUUCAAUGUAAUUCUGUGAUUGAAUGUAGUCAUGCUUGAACUCCAUCUAAUGCAGGCCCCAACCAUUCUGGUUUUAAACUGGUGGUGGGAUAAGCUUCUAGUACGGUACCUCGAUUGUAUACUUAAAUGAAUCUACAAAAUGUAUAUUUAUAAACUUGUGUUGUACAAUGAUUCUGACCAUGAAUUAAUGAAUAUAUGGUGGGGAAUAUAAUGGUAUGAUUUAUA